Molecule: ribosomal RNA, 495 nt
Filed under: uncultured bacterium
Lineage: Bacteria
Description: bacterial SSU rRNA
Rfam family: Bacterial small subunit ribosomal RNA
Source: RNAcentral
CUGGCUCAGGAUGAACGCUAGCGGCGCGCCUAAUGCAUGCAAGUCGAGCGGGGCACCUUUGGGUGUUCAGCGGCAAACGGGUGAGUAACACGUAGGUAACUUGCCCCGAAGUUUGGGAUAACGCCUGGAAACGGGUGCUAAUACCGGAUGAGCCUGGCAGAGGAGGGAUUUGCCAGGGAAAGCGGGAGCGCUUCGGGAGAGGCCUGCGGCCCAUCAGCUAGUUGGUAGGGUAAAGGCCUACCAAGGCGAUGACGGGUAGGGGGCGUGAGAGCGCCACCCUCCACAAUGGGACUGAGAUACGGCCCAUACUCCUACGGGAGGCAGCAGCAGGGAAUAUUGCGCAAUGGGCGAAAGCCUGACGCAGCGACGCCGCGUGGGUGAAGAAGGCCUUCGGGUUGUAAAACCCUUUUCUGGAGGAAGAGAGAGGACGGUACUCCAGGAAUAAGCGUCGGCUAACUACGUGCCAGCAGCCGCGGUAACACAUAGGACGCGAGC